CCAUAGCCAGGAUGGGCCUUCGGGCGGGCCUGGACGCGGUAUCGCCGGUAGUCACGCGUUACGAAAGAACACCGGCAGCU
RNAcentral lists this non-coding RNA (80 nucleotides) under Pseudomonas synxantha BG33R. Its description in RNAcentral is "Pseudomonas sp. BG33R Proteo-phage-1 RNA". It matches the Rfam family "Proteo-phage-1 RNA". Lineage: Bacteria; Pseudomonadati; Pseudomonadota; Gammaproteobacteria; Pseudomonadales; Pseudomonadaceae. The record is from Rfam by way of RNAcentral.